GCCCCCGUAGCUCAGUGGAUAGAGCAUUGGAUUCCUAAUCCAUGUGCCGCAUGUUCGAUUCAUGCCGGGGGCACCA
Molecule: transfer RNA, 76 nt
Filed under: Desulfobacterales bacterium
Lineage: Bacteria; Pseudomonadati; Thermodesulfobacteriota; Desulfobacteria; Desulfobacterales
Description: tRNA-Arg
Rfam family: tRNA
About the family: Transfer RNA (tRNA) molecules are approximately 80 nucleotides in length.
Source: RNAcentral